Molecule: long non-coding RNA, 1041 nt
Organism: Oncorhynchus kisutch (coho salmon)
Lineage: Eukaryota; Metazoa; Chordata; Actinopteri; Salmoniformes; Salmonidae
Exons: 3
Source: RefSeq, a predicted model, not a curated record
UAUGUCUGAAGUAUAAUUCUGUAAACACACGCUUUUAUCAAGACUUCCUGCCUAAGAUGCAGUAAACUCGAUUAACCAUGUAGAAUUUUUAGGACCGAUUCAAAUCUAACAGUGAAAACUAAGUACAUGUUUAUUUUCUUUGUUCCAGGACAAGUUUUUGUUUUGUUUACCAAUGAUUAUGUAUCUUUUCCUUUGAAAUGCAUUCUGAGGCAGGCGCCUUGGGAGUUGCUAUAAAAGGUACCUGAAUUCGGCUGUUAAAGGAGACCCAAAUUAAGAGUGUAACAUGUGUCCACGUGGAGUGAGCAUGGAGAGAUCCCGUCCAAACUUCUCUCAUGCUGCUGGAGUACUGGUAGGAAAAUGGACAAGACAUAAUGGACUGGAAAGAACAGUGGCGGUUCAGGUGUGUGCUGAAUUGAGGGUCUUUUUGAGUGAGAGAACCAACAUGAAGCACUAAGGUGGGACUCAUUAUACAUUUGUGCUGGAUCAUUUAUCAAUAGUUCUAAUUAUGAUUUGGAAAGGCUUCUAGAGACAAAGCUAUGCCCAGAAAAUGUGAUGAGCCACUAGAUUGUAGCUCGGGCUAAUCCUGCCCUAAUCUCGUUCAUAAUCAAGAUUGGUGUGAAACUUAUAACGUGUGCUCUCUCUUCCCUGUGAAAUUCAAUAUGGAUGUGCCCUAGACCAAAUUCUGGAGAUCUCUAGAAACAUAGAUGCUAAAAGAAUUGUGUAAAUUGGCUCUGCCAAACAGAGGCUUUUGACUAUCUUUUGUCAGGUAAAGGGGGCACAUGUGUAAUCAUUGGUGAUGAAUGUUGUACUUUUGUCCCAGAUCACUCUUCUAAUAUGACUGAUCUCAGCAAAUACAUUGCCACUGUUGCUAAGAAUAAUUUCCCACAGAGUGGACGCCUGCAACUUGGUUGGAAUCCCUGUUUGGAAGUUGGGGAUCCCAAAUUACCAAAUGGGCUGCAGCAUAUGUUUUUGUUGAUGAUGAAUCUAAUAGCCUACUUUUUAUCACAGUCAGAACUAACACUGACAUAUGAGGUGUGCCAC